GGCCNACCAUGGUGGUAACGGGUAACGGGGUGUUAGGGCACGACACCGGGAGAGGGAGCCUGAGAAACGGCUACCACAUCCAAGGAUGGCAGCAGGCGCGCAAAUUACCCAAUCCCGACACGGGGAGGUAGUGACAAUAAAUAACAAUACGGGGUUCUUUCGGAUUUCGUAAUUGGAAUGAGUACAAUUUAAAUCUCUUAACGAGGAACAAUUGGAGGGCAAGUCUGGUGCCAGCAGCCGCGGUAAUUCCAGCUCCAAUAGCGUAUAUUAAAGUUGCUGCAGUUAAAAAGCUCGUAGUUGAAUUUCGGGACUAAUAUGUCGGUCGUGCCUCGGUACGUACUGGCUUAUUGGUUUCUCCUUUCUGAAGAACCAUGAUGUCAUUUAUUUGGUGUCGUGGGGAAUCAGGACUGUUACUUUGAAAAAAUUAGAGUGUUUAAAGCAGGCUCACGCUUGAAUACAUUAGCAUGGAAUAAUGAAAUAGGACGUUUGAUUCUAUUUUGUUGGUUUCUAGGAUCGACGUAAUGAUUAAUAGGGAUAGUUGGGGGCAUUAGUAUUCAAUUGUCAGAGGUGAAAUUCUUGGAUUUAUUGAAGACUAACUACUGCGAAAGCAUUUGCCAAGGAUGUUUUCAUUAAUCAAGAACGAAAGUUAGGGGAUCGAAGACGAUCAGAUACCGUCGUAGUCUUAACCAUAAACUAUGCCGACUAGGGAUCGGAUGAUGUUAAUUUUUUAAUGACUCAUUCGGCGCCUUACGGGAAACCAAAGUGUUUGGGUUC
RNAcentral lists this ribosomal RNA (774 nucleotides) under uncultured Glomeromycotina. RNAcentral's name for it is "SSU rRNA". It matches the Rfam family "Eukaryotic small subunit ribosomal RNA", at positions 338 to 1114 of the family's 1831-position model. The record is from RNAcentral. Lineage: Eukaryota; Fungi; Glomeromycota.